Molecule: ribosomal RNA, 874 nt
Filed under: Roseobacter sp.
Lineage: Bacteria; Pseudomonadati; Pseudomonadota; Alphaproteobacteria; Rhodobacterales; Roseobacteraceae
Description: bacterial SSU rRNA
Rfam family: Bacterial small subunit ribosomal RNA
Source: RNAcentral
UUCACUACGGAAUAGUCCCGGGAAACUGGGUUUAAUACCGUAUACGCCCUUCGGGGGAAAGAAUUUCGGUGAGGGAUCGGCCCGCGUUAGAUUAGUUAGUUGGUGGGGUAAUGGCCUACCAAGACUACGAUCUAUAGCUGGUUUGAGAGGAUGAUCAGCAACACUGGGACUGAGACACGGCCCAGACUCCUACGGGAGGCAGCAGUGGGGAAUCUUAGACAAUGGGGGCAACCCUGAUCUAGCGAUGCCGCGUGAGUGAUGAAGGCCUUAGGGUCGUAAAGCUCUUUCGCCUGUGAUGAUAAUGACAGUAGCAGGUAAAGAAACCCCGGCUAACUCCGUGCCAGCAGCCGCGGUAAUACGGAGGGGGUUAGCGUUGUUCGGAAUUACUGGGCGUAAAGCGCACGUAGGCGGAUUAGUCAGUCAGAGGUGAAAUCCCAGGGCUCAACCCUGGAACUGCCUUUGAUACUGCUAGUCUUGAGUUCGAGAGAGGUAAGUGGAAUUCCGAGUGUAGAGGUGAAAUUCGUAGAUAUUCGGAGGAACACCAGUGGCGAAGGCGGCUUACUGGCUCGAUACUGACGCUGAGGUGCGAAAGUGUGGGGAGCGAACAGGAUUAGAUACCCUGGUAGUCCACACCGUAAACGAUGAAUGCCAGUCGUCGGGUAGCAUGCUAUUCGGUGACACACCUAACGGAUUAAGCAUUCCGCCUGGGGAGUACGGUCGCAAGAUUAAAACUCAAAGGAAUUGACGGAGGGCCCGCGCAAGCGGUGGGAUCAUGUGGGUUAAAUUCGAAGCAACGCGCCGAAACCUUGACAACCCCUUGACAUCCCUGAUCGGGGCAUUAUAAAACAUCUUUUUCUGUCAGAUUCGACUGGGG